GAUUUAAAAAGAGUUGCAGAGAUUUCUAUAUUUUUCUGUGUCAUAAUGUAUGCUAUGCAUUAUGUGUGUGUACUGCUGUAUGUGUAAAAGUUGGUUGUGCUUAUUUGUGUUAUUUAAAAUCACAACGUAAUUUUCACCUAAGCACAAACAACAGAUGAAAAGAUGAUGCAGUGUUCAUUGCUUCCUAUGAAGUCCAAAUUAAAGUUGUUCUGUGGCAAGAUCAUGACUUAAGAGAAUAACCAUACUUAUCUAAUAUGUUAGUUUCUCAGGCAAUGUAAGUAUAAUGGCUGAAAAAUGAAUUGGUGGUCUUUUCUGUGGCACCUUGUGCAUCAUCAGGUCCCUGCAACCUAAGGGAUGUCUCCCUCUCCUCACCUUCCUGAGAAAUAGACUCAAGUGUACACUGACUGGAGAGGGGGUAGAGAAGAUAAUGUAGCAGUGCUGGGUCAGAAUCCACAGCAAGGUUCAAGCUGAUGCUGCAAGUCUUGCUGGAUUCAUGGAUAUGUGUGAGAUGGAGCAAACAUCAGCAUCAAGCCAACAGCAUACAAAAAUUAGCUUCAUCUUAUAUAAGAGGCAAGAUAGACAUAAAGAGAAGAAUGAACUCCCUGACAUCCUUCUUUGUGACCCAGAGCUGAUACCGUUCGGAGAAAUGCACUGUUACAGGUGUGGACUGUGGACUUCACCCUGGAGGAGCAGCAGGACCUGGACACUUUAAAAGGUUUAAUAUUAUCUGUACCGCUUGUGUAGCCCCUGCAUUUCCAGGCAAAAGAAGGAAAUCAUUUUGCUGAUGGAGCAACUGUGUUCAGCAUUAAGCAGCACAAUCCUUUGUCUCUGACCCAGGUGAAAAUACAAAAUCCCCAGGAUAUUCAAACAUGCCGCCUUCUUACAAUUGGUAUGUAGUAAACCCUGCAGGGUUUUCACCCUGCCAGCCAACAGACAAGAGCAUGUGGGUGGUAAAUCUGAACUGGCUCUUCCUGGGCUUGGCUUACAUGCACAGCAGGGGUUGUAUGACUGUCCCAGAGGCAUCAGCAGAGUCCAAAGAGGAUCCAUAUGUGAGUAUGGUGGUUGAUAGCAAGGUUCAGAGAUUGUAGGGUCUUGGUGGGGAGGCAUCCUUGCCACAUGCUAGCAUCACAGCACUGCUUCUUUCCUACAUGAAGAUGGGGAGAAUUACCCCUUCCUGUCUCCACCUUCUCCAUUUUACUGUUUAUUUCUUCUGCUUUCUUGUUUUGGCUUGAGUUUUCUCUGAAAAAAUUUUUUUAGCUUCAAAUGUUAGAAUUAUAGCUAUGCCACAGUGCUGGCCCCUCAAGUUUUAUCCUGCUAUGGAAUGCAUGGAACAUUUCUCUGUAUUAAUACAAAAAAAACUUUUUAAAAAGUUUUAAUCCUAUACAGAUUAUAUUGUUCUUUAUUUUUUUUAGUGUAACCUGAUAAUAUUUGCCUUUAUAAAUAUUCAACUGAAAAAUAGUUGUAGAUACUUUAGGGUAUGAUGUGAUCAUUUGAUGAAUGCUAAUUCUGGGAUUUUCAAAUGAGAAUUAUUCACAUUCUCUCCUUUUUUUUUUUUUUUUUUUGACAGGCAGAGUGGACAGUGAGAGAGAGAGACAGACAGAAAGGUCUUCUUUUGCCAUUGGUUCACCCUCCAAUGGUUGCCGCAGGCAGCGCGCUGCGGCUGGUGCACCACGCUGAUCCGAAGGCAGGAGCCAGGUGCUUCUCCUGGUCUCCCAUGGGGUGCAGGGCCCAAGCACCUGGACCAUCCUCCACUGCACUCCCUGGCCACAGCAGAGAGCUGGCCUGGAAGAGGGGCAAGUGGGACAGAAUCCGGCACCCCGACUGGGACUAGAACCCGGUGUGCCAGUGCCGCAAGGUGGAGGAUUAGCCUAUUGAGCCACGGCACUGGCCCAGAAUUAUUCACAUUCUUCACCUCAUAUAUUAUGGUGAGAACAUUUAAAAACCUCUACAAGAAAUUUGAAAUAUGAAAUGCAACAUUAUAAUCUCAUUCAUGGUGUCUAGGGGAAACUUUGUGCAUAUUUACCAAUGUGUCCCCUUUAUCCUUACUCCACCAUUCUUCUCUCUAACAUGCAUUCCAGAUUUUUAGUGAGAUAAUAUUUGUCCUUUUGUGUCCUUCUGGGUUUGUCACUUCACAUGAUAAUCUCUAUAUUCACAUAAAUUGUCAAAAGUGACAGAAUUUCACUAUGGAAGGCUCAGUGGAACCCCAUUGUGUUUAUGUGGCACAUUUCAAGUCUAUUCAUGUGUAGGCAGAUAUGUCCACUGUUUUUACAUCUAACAUUCUGAGUAAUGUGUAAUACACAUGAGAAUAUAGGCAGCUCUUCAUUAUACUGGUUCUAUGUCUUUCAUUUAUAUACCUUAGUAGAGGAUUGUUAAAACUAAUGGUAUUUCUGUUUAAGUUUAUGCUAUUUGCCAAGCUGUCUGUUUUAAUACACAAUUGCAUAUGGUACAAUGAGUCUCUUAGUGGUGAAACAUAAUUUAGUAGGCUAUUUGUAAGCUGAGGAGGGACUAACAAUGACCUAAUUUCAUUCAAAAUAUCACCUCAUGUCAGCUUCAGCAAUUCACUCCCCAAAUGUCUGAAACAGCUGUGUAGGGCCAGGCCAAAGCCAGGAGACUGGGACUCCAUCCACGUCUCUACUUGGGUGGCAGAGAUCCAAGAACUUGGGCCAUCUUCCACUUCUUUUUUAGGAGCCGUAGCAGGGAGUAGCACCAGAAGUGGAGUAGCCAGGACCUUAACCAUAUGAGAUGCUGGGAUCACUGAAGCAUCACUGCAAUUUUACUCUAUCUUGCCUCCAGCUGGGGAAUGUUUCCCUCACCACAACCUUGAUGGUCAAUUGGUCAAUGCCUGUAUUGAGUUACUAUAGACCCACAAGGGGAUAAUUGAGAUGUGACAGAGCUUAGCACAAGACAUUGCCUUGCAUCACACAAAGAAAUAGAUGUGGUGUAAUAAACAGACUGGGUAUAGAAAACUACA
Oryctolagus cuniculus (rabbit) is the source of this 2971-nucleotide long non-coding RNA. The record is from Ensembl. NCBI's taxonomy places the organism in Eukaryota, Metazoa, Chordata, Mammalia, Lagomorpha, Leporidae.